RNAcentral lists this ribosomal RNA (551 nucleotides) under uncultured bacterium. RNAcentral describes it as "bacterial SSU rRNA". It matches the Rfam family "Bacterial small subunit ribosomal RNA", at positions 355 to 896 of the family's 1533-position model. The record is from RNAcentral.
UAGGGAAUCUUCGGCAAUGGGGGCAACCCUGACCGAGCAACGCCGCGUGAGUGAAGAAGGUUUUUCGGAUCGUAAAGCUCUGUUGUAAGUCAAGAACGAGUGUGAGAGUGGAAAGUUCACACUGUGACGGUAGCUUACCAGAAAGGGACGGCUAACUACGUGCCAGCAGCCGCGGUAAUACGUAGGUCCCGAGCGUUGUCCGGAUUUAUUGGGCGUAAAGCGAGCGCAGGCGGUUUGAUAAGUCUGAAGUUAAAGGCUGUGGCUCAACCAUAGUUCGCUUUGGAAACUGUCAAACUUGAGUGCAGAAGGGGAGAGUGGAAUUCCAUGUGUAGCGGUGAAAUGCGUAGAUAUAUGGAGGAACACCGGUGGCGAAAGCGGCUCUCUGGUCUGUAACUGACGCUGAGGCUCGAAAGCGUGGGGAGCGAACAGGAUUAGAUACCCUGGUAGUCCACGCCGUAAACGAUGAGUGCUAGGUGUUGGAUCCUUUCCGGGAUUCAGUGCCGCAGCUAACGCAUUAAGCACUCCGCCUGGGGAGUACGACCGCAAGGUUG